UGGGGAAUAUUGCACAAUGGGCGAAAGCCUGAUGCAGCAACGCCGCGCGAACGAUGAAGGUCUUCGGAUCGUAAAGUUCUGUUGCAGGGGAAGAUAAUGACGGUACCCUGUGAGGAAGCCCCGGCUAACUACGUGCCAGCAGCCGCGGUAAUACGUAGGGGGCUAGCGUUAUCCGGAUUUACUGGGCGUAAAGGGUGCGUAGGUGGUCCUUCAAGUCGGUGGUUAAAGGCUACGGCUCAACCGUAGUAAGCCGCCGAAACUGGAGGACUUGAGUGCAGGAGAGGAAAGUGGAAUUCCCAGUGUAGCGGUGAAAUGCGUAGAUAUUGGGAGGAACACCAGUAGCGAAGGCGGCUUUCUGGACUGCAACUGACACUGAGGCACGAAAGCGUGGGUAGCAAACAGGAUUAGAUACCCUGGUAGUCCACGCUGUAAACGAUGAGUACUAGGUGUCGGGGGUUACCCCCCUCGGUGCCGCAGCUAACGCAUUAAGUACUCCGCCUGGGGAGUACGCACGCAAGUGUG
Molecule: ribosomal RNA, 522 nt
Filed under: uncultured bacterium
Lineage: Bacteria
Description: bacterial SSU rRNA
Rfam family: Bacterial small subunit ribosomal RNA
Source: RNAcentral